ACGGAAGGCAGCAGUGAGGAAUAUUGGUCAAUGGGCGGAAGCCUGAACCAGCCAAGUCGCGUGAAGGAUGAAGGUAUUAUGUAUUGUAAACUUCUUUAGCAGCAGAGUAAUAAGGGGGUCGUGACCCCCGAUGCAAGUAUGCUGAAAAUAAGGAUCGGCUAACUCCGUGCCAGCAGCCGCGGUAAUACGGAGGAUCCGAGCGUUAUCCGGAUUUAUUGGGUUUAAAGGGUGCGCAGGCGGUUUUUUAAGUCAGUGGUUAAAUCGUGAGGCUCAACCUCAUCACGCCAUUGAUACUGGAAGACUCGAUUGCGGUUGAGGUUGGCGGAAUUCGUCGUGUAGCGGUGAAAUGCAUAGAUAUGACGAAGAACACCGAUUGCGUAGGCAGCUGACCAAGCCGUAAAUGACGCUCAUGCACGAAAGUGCGGGGAUCGAACAGGAUUAGAUACCCUGGUA
Molecule: ribosomal RNA, 453 nt
Filed under: uncultured Porphyromonadaceae bacterium
Lineage: Bacteria; Pseudomonadati; Bacteroidota; Bacteroidia; Bacteroidales; Porphyromonadaceae
Description: partial 16S ribosomal RNA
Rfam family: Bacterial small subunit ribosomal RNA
Source: RNAcentral